RNA transcript from Fragaria vesca subsp. vesca, 1147 nucleotides. It is a transcript of the gene named formin-like protein 3-like, with no coding region annotated. Lineage: Eukaryota; Viridiplantae; Streptophyta; Magnoliopsida; Rosales; Rosaceae. The record is from RefSeq and is a predicted model, not a curated record. The transcript has 11 exons.
AAACUUAUGAAAAGCUCUCUUCUGCUAGGGUUUGCCGUCGGCGGCGGCUCUGGGUUUUCUGCUGGUAGAUUAGGGUCUCCCUCUUCCUCUGGUUAUUUAGAUGAUGGAGGUUGUGGGUUUCUUUCCCGUCGUCUUCUUCGUGCACCAAUCGGACUGUGGUUCGAUUGUCUUUUUCUUCUCCUCAUCCUUACCCACUUCGGCGUUGUUGGUGAAGGUGGGAGCAGUGAUGGCGGCACAGAGAACUAUACGGGUGAGAAGGAAAUGCUGGGAAAGUGUGAACAGUUUUUCUUAGUGUUGAUGAAGGUUCCACGAGUAGAACCCAAGUUGCGAGUAUUUGCUUUCAAAAUUACCUUUUCUAGUCAGGUGAAAGACUUAAGAUCAAAUUUGAUUACCAUCAAUAGUGCUACUAAAGAGGUUAAAGAAUCUGCGAAGUUGCGACAGGUAAUGCAGACAAUUCUUACUUUGGGAAAUGCCUUAAAUCAAGGCACUGCUCGAGGGUCAGCCAUAGGAUUCAAAUUGGACAGCCUUCUUAAAUUGUCUGAUACUCAUGCAAGAAACAACAAAAUGACUUUAAUGCACUAUUUGUGUAAGCUCAUUGCUGAGAAAAUGCCCGAGCUGCUGGAUUUUGAUAGGGAUCUUAUCCAUUUGGAAGCUGCCUCUAAGGUGCUGAAAAAUUUCCUUGAUACUGCUGAAGCUGAAGUUAGGUCACUAAUCUCCUUGUACUCUGAAGUGGGAAGAAACGCAGAUUCUUUGUCUCAAUACUUUGGGGAGGAUCCAUCUCGGUGUCCUUUUGAACAAGUGACACAGGUGUUGUUCAUCUUUGUCAAGAUGUUUACCAAGCGCGAGAGGAAAAUGAAAGACUGGCUGAUAUUGAAAAGAAGAAGCUUGAAAAGGAAGCCAUGAAAGAGCGAACUGUAGCUAAUUCAUCUGCAAAGAAAGAUUCUGUGGAUAGAGCAUGAGAUUGCAUAUAUACGUGUGGUUUUGGAGCUGCUGUGCAUAUCAAGAUCCAUCAUGCAUUCUGCUAUCUAUAUGAAUACAACUAGAUGGAACUUUCACAUGUGCUCUUACCCAUUUCUUCUACGGAUCGAUGCUGUGUAAGUCUGUAUAAUACAACUUUCUUAGUUGUUUUUGAGCUGUAUAUAUGUAA